This 158-nucleotide ribosomal RNA is filed under the name Bursaphelenchus xylophilus (pine wood nematode). Its description in RNAcentral is "5.8S ribosomal RNA". The record is from RNAcentral. Lineage: Eukaryota; Metazoa; Nematoda; Chromadorea; Rhabditida; Aphelenchoididae.
UGGCGUUUUACCGUGCCGACAGAUGAGACCAGCCAGCUGCUUGCCGAUUCGUUCUGGCGAGCGUAGGAUUGAAAAGCCCGAGAGGCUGCCCUGACAAAACAUUCAUUUUACAUUUAUUUUGUUGGAAAAGAGCUUUAAGUUACUCCGGUGGAUCACUU